This 760-nucleotide ribosomal RNA is filed under the name uncultured bacterium. RNAcentral describes it as "bacterial SSU rRNA". It matches the Rfam family "Bacterial small subunit ribosomal RNA", at positions 99 to 835 of the family's 1533-position model. The record is from RNAcentral.
CAAACGGGUGAGUAACACGUAAACAACCUGCCUUCAGGAUGGGGACAACAGACGGAAACGACUGCUAAUACCGAAUAAGUUCCAAGAGCCGCAUGGCCCAUGGAAGAAAAGGUGGCCUCUACCUGUAAGCUAUCGCCUGAAGAGGGGUUUGCGUCUGAUUAGCUGGUUGGAGGGGUAACGGCCCACCAAGGCGACGAUCAGUAGCCGGUCUGAGAGGAUGAACGGCCACACUGGAACUGAGACACGGUCCAGACUCCUACGGGAGGCAGCAGUGGGGAAUCUUCCGCAAUGGGCGAAAGCCUGACGGAGCAACGCCGCGUGAGUGAUGACGGCCUUCGGGUUGUAAAACUCUGUGAUCCGGGACGAAAAGGCAGAGUGCGAAGAACAAACUGCAUUGACGGUACCGGAAAAGCAAGCCACGGCUAACUACGUGCCAGCAGCCGCGGUAAUACGUAGGUGGCAAGCGUUGUCCGGAAUUAUUGGGCGUAAAGCGCGCGCAGGCGGCUUCCCAAGUCCCUCUUAAAAGUGCGGGGCUUAACCCCGUGAUGGGAAGGAAACUGGGAAGCUGGAGUAUCGGAGAGGAAAGUGGAAUUCCUAGUGUAGCGGUGAAAUGCGUAGAGAUUAGGAAGAACACCGGUGGCGAAGGCGACUUUCUGGACGAAAACUGACGCUGAGGCGCGAAAGCGUGGGGAGCAAACAGGAUUAGAUACCCUGGUAGUCCACGCCGUAAACGAUGGAUACUAGGUGUAGGAGGUAUCGA